UUUUGUUUGGAGGCCGUACAGAGUUCCUACAGACGAGCAGUCGGAGCUGAUGUUGUGAAGAGACCAUUAAUAAUAAAAUAUGAGCCCACGUCAUGAUGUGACGGUAGUUACAAGUCAACCACAUAGAGACAUAUAUGGCUUCAUUUUAACAAUCUUUGAAGUAAUUGGUUGUUGCUUUGAAGGGAAGUAAAAAGUUCUCCACUCGUUUCAUCAUCAUACUUUCAUUCUGCAGAAUGAAGUCGUGCGUCGAGCUUCUCUUUGUUUCUCUGCUGACAUUAUGUGAAGCACAAGGAACCAUUGUGACUCCUGUGUUUGUGCUGAAGGGACGUGAUCUGCUCCUCAAGCUUCAUGCUGAUCCUCCUGAGGGGGUUUUAUUUGUUGACUGGAAAAUCAAUAAAACAGUCGAUUUAGUAAGAUUUAAACCUAGUGGAGAAGAAACUGUCCUUCGUAAUUCCACUGGAGGGUUUGAGUUUCCUGAGAAUAAAUUCUCUGUGAUAUUGAAGAAUGUACAAGAGGUCGACAGUGGAGUUUAUUCUGCUGAAGCAGGAACACUUCAAGGAAACAAACUACUGACCGAAUACAAGGUCACAGUUCAAGGACCAGCGUCUCCAGUUGAACUGAUCGUGGACCGAGUGGACUCCAGCAGCUCAGA
Molecule: non-coding RNA, 652 nt
Organism: Gasterosteus aculeatus aculeatus (three-spined stickleback)
Lineage: Eukaryota; Metazoa; Chordata; Actinopteri; Perciformes; Gasterosteidae
Source: RefSeq, a predicted model, not a curated record